RNAcentral lists this ribosomal RNA (211 nucleotides) under uncultured Staphylococcus sp. RNAcentral describes it as "partial 16S ribosomal RNA". It matches the Rfam family "Bacterial small subunit ribosomal RNA", at positions 149 to 354 of the family's 1533-position model. Lineage: Bacteria; Bacillati; Bacillota; Bacilli; Caryophanales; Staphylococcaceae. The record is from RNAcentral.
ACGGGAAACCGGAGCUAAUACGAUAAUAUUUCGAACCGCAUGGUUCGAUAGUGAAAGGUGGUUUUGCUAUCACUUAUAGAUGGACCCGCGCCGUAUUAGCUAGUUGGUAAGGUAACGGCUUACCAAGGCGACGAUACGUAGCCGACCUGAGAGGGUGAUCGGCCACACUGGAACUGAGACACGGUCCAGACUCCUACGGGAGGCAGCAGAU